AAAUUUUAUGUCCAGUACUAAAACCGUUUUGAGUGACUUAUCGGCAGAAUGGUAUUCAAAUGGACUACAGUAAAUUUUGGUUUCUCUUCCUCUGAGCGUUGCACUUAAUAUAAUUCGUGCCCCACUCAUAAAUGAGAAACUACAAUUGAUAUGA
Hermetia illucens (black soldier fly) is the source of this 154-nucleotide small nucleolar RNA. Lineage: Eukaryota; Metazoa; Arthropoda; Insecta; Diptera; Stratiomyidae. The record is from RefSeq and is a predicted model, not a curated record.